RNAcentral lists this ribosomal RNA (576 nucleotides) under uncultured bacterium. RNAcentral describes it as "bacterial SSU rRNA". It matches the Rfam family "Bacterial small subunit ribosomal RNA", at positions 102 to 674 of the family's 1533-position model. The record is from RNAcentral.
ACGGGUGAGUAAUACAUCGGAACGUGCCCUGUAGUGGGGGAUAACUAGUCGAAAGAUUAGCUAAUACCGCAUACGACCUGAGGGUGAAAGUGGGGGACCGCAAGGCCUCAUGCUAUAGGAGCGGCCGAUGUCUGAUUAGCUAGUUGGUGGGGUAAAGGCCCACCAAGGCGACGAUCAGUAGCUGGUCUGAGAGGACGAUCAGCCACACUGGGACUGAGACACGGCCCAGACUCCUACGGGAGGCAGCAGUGGGGAAUUUUGGACAAUGGGGGCAACCCUGAUCCAGCAAUGCCGCGUGUGUGAAGAAGGCCUUCGGGUUGUAAAGCACUUUUGUCCGGAAAGAAAUCGCACUUACUAAUAUUAGGUGUGGAUGACGGUACCGGAAGAAUAAGGACCGGCUAACUACGUGCCAGCAGCCGCGGUAAUACGUUGGGUCCAAGCGUUAAUCGGAAUUACUGGGCGUAAAGCGUGCGCAGGCGGUUGUGCAAGACCGAUGUGAAAUCCCCGGGCUUAACCUGGGAAUUGCAUUGGUGACUGCACGGCUAGAGUGUGUCAGAGGGGGGUAGAAUUCCACGU